UGUGGUCAAGUUUCUAAGAGCAAACGGUGGAUGCCUUGGCAUCUGGAGCCGAAGAAGGACGUAGAAAUCUGCGAUAAGCCUCGGGGAGCUGAUAAUCGAGCUGUGAGCCGAGGAUUUCCGAAUGGGGAAACCCCGCCAGGCGACUUGUCGACCUGGUGACUCCCGCCUGAAUAUAUAGGGCGGGUAGAGGGAACGUGGGGAAGUGAAACAUCUCAGUACCCACAGGAAGAGAAAACAACAUGUGAUUCCGUGAGUAGUGGCGAGCGAAAACGGAUGAGGCUAAACCGAUCAUGUGUGAUAGCCGGCGGGCGUUGCAUGGUCGGGGUUGUGGGACACGUCGCUCAGUUCUGCCGGACUGGGACGGUUACAGCGCAUCAUAGUCGAACCGGUUUGAAAGCCGGGCCGUAGUGGGUGCCAGCCCCGUAGACGAAAUGGUGUUAUGGCCGGAUGUGUAUCCCAAGUAGCACGGGGCCCGAGAAAUCCCGUGUGAAUCUGUCAGGACCACCUGAUAAGCCUAAAUACUCCCAGAUGACCGAUAGCGGACAAGUACCGUGAGGGAAAGGUGAAAAGUACCCCGGGAGGGGAGUGAAAUAGUACCUGAAACCGUUUGCUUACAAACCGUCGGAGCCUCCUUUGUAGGGGUGACGGCGUGCCUUUUGAAGAAUGAGCCUGCGAGUUAGCGAUAUGUGGCGAGGUUAACCCGUGUGGGGUAGCCGUAGCGAAAGCGAGUCUGAAUAGGGCGAUUCAGUCGCAUGUCCUAGACCCGAAGCGAAGUGAUCUAUCCAUGGCCAGGUUGAAGCGACGGUAAGACGUCGUGGAGGACCGAACCCACUUCAGUUGAAAAUGGAGGGGAUGAGCUGUGGAUAGGGGUGAAAGGCCAAUCAAACUUCGUGAUAGCUGGUUCUCUCCGAAAUGCAUUUAGGUGCAGCGUUGCGUGUUUCUCGCCGGAGGUAGAGCUACUGGAUGGCCGAUGGGCCUCAACAGGUUACUGACGUCAGCCAAACUCCGAAUGCCGGUGAGUGAGAGCGCAGCAGUGAGACGGUGGGGGAUAAGCUUCAUCGUCGAGAGGGAAACAACCCAGACUACCAACUAAGGCCCCUAAGCGUGUGCUAAGUGGGAAAGGAUGUGGAGUUGCACAGACAACCAGGAGGUUGGCUUAGAAGCAGCCACCCUUGAAAGAGUGCGUAAUAGCUCACUGGUCAAGUGAUUCCGCGCCGACAAUGUAACGGGGCUCAAGCACACCGCCGAAGUUGUAGAUUUCGCACAUAGACAAGCCUUCGUGGUUCAGUCGUGCGGAGUGGUAGGAGAGCGUCGUGUGGCGAGUGAAGCGGCGGAGUGAUCCAGCCGUGGACGCCACACGAGUGAGAAUGCAGGCAUGAGUAGCGAAAGACGGGUGAGAAACCCGUCCUCCGAAAGACCAAGGGUUCCAGGGCCAGGUUAAUCCGCCCUGGGUAAGUCGGGACCUAAGGCGAGGCCGACAGGCGUAGUCGAUGGACAACGGGUUGAUAUUCCCGUACCGGCGAACAACCGCCCAAGCUAAUCCAGUGGUGCUAAGAGUCCUAACCCGGCACUUGUUGAUCCCUUCGGGGUGAGACGGGCCGGUCUAACGCUCGACCCCAUGCUGGUGCGGUUAGCGUAUGAACAGGUGUGACGCAGGAAGGUAGCUGAGCCAGGCGAUGGUAUCCGUAAGGUGAACCUGGUGUAAGGAUGUAGGGCUGACGAUAGGCAAAUCCGUCGUCUGUACGCCUGAGAUCCGACGCGUACCCGUCAGGGGAAAUCAGUGAUCCUAUGCUGCCGAGAAAAGCAUCGACGCGAGGUUGCAGCCGCCCGUACCCGAAACCGACUCAGGUGGUCAGGUAGAGAAUACCAAGGAGAUCGAGAUAAUCGUGGUUAAGGAACUCGGCAAAAUGCCCCCGUAACUUCGGGAGAAGGGGGGCCGGACACGUGACCGGAUUCACUCCGUGAGCGUUGAAGGCCGCAGAGACCAGUGGGAAGCGACUGUUUACUAAAAACACAGGUCCGUGCGAAGUCGCAAGACGAUGUAUACGGACUGACGCCUGCCCGGUGCUGGAAGGUUAAGAGGAAGGGUCAGCCUCACGGCGAAGCUCUGAAUUUAAGCCCCAGUAAACGGCGGUGGUAACUAUAACCAUCCUAAGGUAGCGAAAUUCCUUGUCGGGUAAGUUCCGACCUGCACGAAUGGCGUAACGACUUCCCAGCUGUCUCAACCGCGAACUCGGCGAAAUUGCACUACGAGUAA
This 2257-nucleotide ribosomal RNA is filed under the name Curtobacterium sp. MCPF17_050. Its description in RNAcentral is "bacterial LSU rRNA". It matches the Rfam family "Bacterial large subunit ribosomal RNA", at positions 1 to 2056 of the family's 2925-position model. The record is from RNAcentral. Lineage: Bacteria; Bacillati; Actinomycetota; Actinomycetes; Micrococcales; Microbacteriaceae.